Molecule: ribosomal RNA, 464 nt
Filed under: uncultured bacterium
Lineage: Bacteria
Description: partial 16S ribosomal RNA
Rfam family: Bacterial small subunit ribosomal RNA
Source: RNAcentral
GAUGAACGCUGGCGGCGUGCUUAACACAUGCAAGUCGAACGGAAAGGCUCCUGCUUGCAGGGGUACUCGAGUGGCGAACGGGUGAGUAACACGUGGGUGAUCUGCCCUGCACUUCGGGAUAAGCCUGGGAAACUGGGUCUAAUACCGGAUAGGACGAUGGUUUGGAUGCCAUUGUGGAAAGUUUUUCGGUGUGGGAUGAGCUCGCGGCCUAUCAGCUUGUUGGUGGGGUAAUGGCCUACCAAGGCGUCGACGGGUAGCCGGCCUGAGAGGGUGUACGGCCACAUUGGGACUGAGAUACGGCCCAGACUCCUACGGGAGGCAGCAGUGGGGAAUAUGGCACAAUGGGCGCAAGCCUGAUGCAGCGACGCCGCGUGGGGGAGGACGGCCUUCGGGUUGUAAACUCCUUUCGCUAGGGACGAAGCGCAAGUGACGGUACCUGGAGAAGAAGCACCGGCUAACUACGU